GUGAGCAGGGUAACAGACUACAGACUAUAGAGGUGAGCAGGGUAACAGACUACAGAGUAUAGAGGUGAGCAGGGUAACAGACUACAGACUAUAGAGGUGAGCAGGGUAACAGACUACAGACUAUAGAGGUGAGCAGGGUAACAGAAUAUAGACUAUAGAGGUGAGUAGGGUAACAAACUAUAGAGGUGAGCAGGGUAGCAGACUAUAGAGGUGAGCAGGGUAGCAGACUAUAGAGGUGAGUAGGGUAACAGACUACAGACUAUAGAGGUGAGCAGGGUAACAGAAUAUAGACUAUAGAGGUGAGUAGGGUAGCAGACUAUAGAGGUGAGCAGGGUAGCAGACUAUAGAGGUGAGCAGGGUAACAGACUACAGACUAUAGAGGUGAGCAGGGUAACAGAAUAUAGACUAUAGAGGUGAGUAGGGUAACAAACUAUAGAGGUGAGCAGGGUAGCAGACUAUAGAGGUGAGCAGGGUAGCAGACUAUAGAGGUGAGCAGGGUAACAGACUACAGACUAUAGAGGUGAGCAGGGUAACAGAAUAUAGACUAUAGAGGUGAGUAGGGUAACAAACUAUAGAGGUGAGCAGGGUAGCAGACUAUAGAGGUGAGCAGGGUAGCAGACUAUAGAGGUGAGCAGGGUAGCAGACUAUAGAGGUGAGCAGGGUAACAGACUAUAGAGGUGAGCAGGGUAACAGACUAUAGAGGUGAGCAGGGUAACAGACUACAGAGUAUAGAGGUGAGCAGGGUAACAGACUACAGAGUAUAGAGGUGAGUAGGGUAACAGAAUACAGACUAUAGAGGUGAGCAGGGUAACAGACUAUAGAGGUGAGCAGGGUAACAGACUAUAGAGGUGAGCAGGGUAACAGACUAUAGAGGUGAGCAGGGUAACAGACUAUAGAGGUGAGCAGGGUAACAGACUAU
Non-coding RNA from Oncorhynchus mykiss (rainbow trout), 919 nucleotides. The record is from RefSeq and is a predicted model, not a curated record. Lineage: Eukaryota; Metazoa; Chordata; Actinopteri; Salmoniformes; Salmonidae.